UACGAAGGGGGCUAGCGUUGUUCGGAAUCACUGGGCGUAAAGCGCACGUAGGCGGACAUUUAAGUCAGGGGUGAAAGCCUGGAGCUCAACUCCAGAACUGCCCUUGAUACUGGGUGUCUCGAGUCCGGAAGAGGUAAGUGGAACUGCGAGUGUAGAGGUGAAAUUCGUAGAUAUUCGCAAGAACACCAGUGGCGAAGGCGGCUUACUGGUCCGGUACUGACGCUGAGGUGCGAAAGCGUGGGGAG
RNAcentral lists this ribosomal RNA (245 nucleotides) under uncultured Ancylobacter sp. RNAcentral describes it as "partial 16S ribosomal RNA". It matches the Rfam family "Bacterial small subunit ribosomal RNA", at positions 524 to 768 of the family's 1533-position model. Lineage: Bacteria; Pseudomonadati; Pseudomonadota; Alphaproteobacteria; Hyphomicrobiales; Xanthobacteraceae. The record is from RNAcentral.